GACGAACGCUGGCGGCGUGCUUAACACAUGCAAGUCGAACGGAAAGGCCCAGCUUGCUGGGUACUCGAGUGGCGAACGGGUGAGUAACACGUGGGUGAUCUGCCCUGGACUCUGGGAUAAGCCUGGGAAACUGGGUCUAAUACCGGAUAUGACCUUACAUCGCAUGGUGUUUGGUGGAAAGCUUUUGCGGUUCAGGAUGGGCCCGCGGCCUAUCAGCUUGUUGGUGGGGUAAUGGCCUACCAAGGCGACGACGGGUAGCCGACCUGAGAGGGUGAUCGGCCACACUGGGACUGAGACACGGCCCAGACUCCUACGGGAGGCAGCAGUGGGGAAUAUUGCACAAUGGGCGCAAGCCUGAUGCAGCGACGCCGCGUGGGGGAUGACGGCCUUCGGGUUGUAAACCUCUUUCACCAGGGACGAAGCGUGAGUGACGGUACCUGGAGAAGAAGCACCGGCCAACUACGUG
Molecule: ribosomal RNA, 466 nt
Filed under: uncultured bacterium
Lineage: Bacteria
Description: partial 16S ribosomal RNA
Rfam family: Bacterial small subunit ribosomal RNA
Source: RNAcentral